Non-coding RNA from Gymnothorax javanicus (giant moray), 89 nucleotides. The record is from the annotation of a GenBank genome assembly. NCBI's taxonomy places the organism in Eukaryota, Metazoa, Chordata, Actinopteri, Anguilliformes, Muraenidae.
GCCAGGAUGGCUGAGUGUUUAAGGCAUUGGACUUAAGAUCUCAUGGAUAUAGGUGUGUGUCUGUGUGGGUUCAAUCCCCACUUGUAGCA